Molecule: transfer RNA, 75 nt
Filed under: Myzus persicae (green peach aphid)
Lineage: Eukaryota; Metazoa; Arthropoda; Insecta; Hemiptera; Aphididae
Description: tRNA-Ser
Source: RNAcentral
AAAAGAUUUUAAAAAAAAAGAAGCUGCUAACUAUCUUUUAAAGCAUUUUAAAUGUUUAAUCUUUUAAAUAUUUAU